RNAcentral lists this ribosomal RNA (362 nucleotides) under Acomoptera sp. JSS21. RNAcentral's name for it is "partial 16S ribosomal RNA". The record is from RNAcentral. Lineage: Eukaryota; Metazoa; Arthropoda; Insecta; Diptera; Mycetophilidae.
UCGAAGGUAGCAUAAUCAGUAGUUUUUUAAUUGAAAGCUUGUAUGAAUGGUUUAACGAGAUAUUUUCUGUUUCUUUUAAAAUUUAAUUGAAAUUAAUUUUUUAGUAAAAAAGCUAAAAUAUAAUUUAAAGACGAGAAGACCCUUUAGAGUUUAAUAUAAAAUAUUAUAAUUUUUUUUUAUAAUAAUUAGAAUGUUAAUAUAUUUUAUAUUUAAUUGGGGUGAUUAUAAAAAUUAUAUAACUUUUAUUAUUUUUUGACAAAUAUUUUUGAGUAAUUGAUCCAUUAUUAUUGAUUAAAGAUUAAAUUACCUAAGGGAUAACAGCGUAAUUUUUUUGUAGAGUUCUUAUCGAUAAAAAUUUUUGC